This is a long non-coding RNA of Populus euphratica (Euphrates poplar), 714 nucleotides long. RefSeq lists it as uncharacterized. Lineage: Eukaryota; Viridiplantae; Streptophyta; Magnoliopsida; Malpighiales; Salicaceae. The transcript is spliced from 2 exons. The record is from RefSeq and is a predicted model, not a curated record.
AGCAAUGCCAGUUAUCAGAAAAUCAAAUGCACACACAACAAGAUAAAUACCGCUAUAAAUAAAAUGCUUGACAUAGAUCCUACAAGCAUCUGAAAAUGGAGAUACUCAUGUCCUCUACUGUACUAAGAUAAGUCCAUGUGGUUUUAUGACCAGGAGCAAGGCAAGUAUGUGCAUGACCAUGCGCGCAUGCAGCAAGACAGAUUACGGAUAUGCUGCUUUCAGAAGGUGGCUAUGACUAAUUAAGAUGAAGAAAUCAAAAUAUAUGACCUUAACAGUAUCAGAAAGUAUAAACUGAGAGAUGCUACAAGUUAAAAACUUGGCUAGACAGAACCAUAACCAAUAACAGAUCUAGCUUGAGUUCAUAGGCAUGAGAUGAGCAAUGGUUCCUGGUCUUGGAUUGAGACUACUUAUGUUAUUGGACCAGUGUAAAUUGCCCAAUGUUAUUUUGUAAGACGGUACAUUGUGUAUCUUAAGCAAAAUUGCACUGGAUGGCCUAGGAUAUUAUACAUGCAGAUACCAAUUCUUGUUUCAUUUGAGAUCAAACAAAUUUCAUCAAAGGCUGCAUGAUGCAACUCCUGUGCUGCACUCUUAAGAGAAUUGAGUGGCAAAUCACAGAACAUUUCAUCUCAAUUUUUAACCUAGAAUUUCCUGAACCUUUCAAACCACAUCAAAGUUCAAGUGCUCUAGCACCUUGUCUAAUUGUUAGUUCAGACU